GUCCUCUUGACCGAGUAGUGAGGUGGCCGGCUGCAACCCGGCUCAGGCAGGUGCAAUUCCUGCAGAGGACUCCA
Molecule: transfer RNA, 74 nt
Filed under: Chloroflexota bacterium
Lineage: Bacteria; Bacillati; Chloroflexota
Also listed under: 3 other names
Description: Chloroflexi bacterium (hot springs metagenome) tRNA-Cys
Rfam family: tRNA
About the family: Transfer RNA (tRNA) molecules are approximately 80 nucleotides in length. Their secondary structure includes four short double-helical elements and three loops (D, anti-codon, and T loops). Further hydrogen bonds mediate the characteristic L-shaped molecular structure. tRNAs have two regions of fundamental functional importance: the anti-codon, which is responsible for specific mRNA codon recognition, and the 3' end, to which the tRNAs corresponding amino acid is attached (by aminoacyl-tRNA synthetases). tRNAs cope with the degeneracy of the genetic code in two manners: having more than one tRNA (with a specific anti-codon) for a particular amino acid; and 'wobble' base-pairing, i.e. permitting non-standard base-pairing at the 3rd anti-codon position.
Source: RNAcentral